This 245-nucleotide ribosomal RNA is filed under the name uncultured bacterium. Its description in RNAcentral is "partial 16S ribosomal RNA". It matches the Rfam family "Bacterial small subunit ribosomal RNA", at positions 524 to 768 of the family's 1533-position model. The record is from RNAcentral.
UACGUAGGGUGCAAGCGUUAUCCGGAAUCACUGGGCGUAAAGAGCUCGUAGGCGGUUGGGUAAGUCGCGUGUUAAAGACCAGAGCUUAACUUUGGGAAUGUGCGCGAUACUGCCCGGCUAGAGAAUGGGAGAGGAAUGUGGAAUUCCUGGUGUAGCGGUGAAAUGCAUAGAUAUCAGGAAGAACACCUGUGGCGAAGGCGGCAUUCUAGACCACUUCUGACGCUGAGGAGCGAAAGCCAGGGGAG